UCCUACGGGACGCAGUAGGGAAUAUUGCACAAUGGGGGGAACCCUGAUGCAGCGACGCCGCGUGGGUGAAGGAGUAUUUCGGUAUGUAAAGCCCUAUCAGCAGGGAAGAACAAUGACGGUACCUGACUAAGAAGCACCGGCUAAAUACGUGCCAGCAGCCGCGGUAAUACGUAUGGUGCAAGCGUUAUCCGGAUUUACUGGGUGUAAAGGGAGCGCAGGCGGCGCGUUAAGCCUGGUGUGAAAGCCCGCGGCCCAACCGCGGGACUGCAUUGGGAACUGGCGCGCUGGAGUGCCGGAGGGGUAGG
Molecule: ribosomal RNA, 305 nt
Filed under: uncultured bacterium
Lineage: Bacteria
Description: bacterial SSU rRNA
Rfam family: Bacterial small subunit ribosomal RNA
Source: RNAcentral